CAGAGGUCUCGAGCGUUAGGCGGAAUCACUGGGCUUAAAGCGUGUGUAGGCGGGUCGUUAAGUACCUUGUGAAAUCCCAUGGCUCAACCAUGGAACUGCUGGGUAUACUGGCGAUCUUGUGCAACCUAGGGGCGAGCGGAACAGAUGGUGGAGCGGUGAAAUGCGUAGAUAUCAUCUGGAACGCCAAUGGUGAAAACAGCUCGCUGGGGGUUUGCAGACGCUGAGACACGAAAGCCAGGGGAGCGAACGGGAUUAGAUACCCCGGUAGUCCUGGCCCUAAACGAUGUCCACUAGAUCGUAGCUGCUCUGACGUAGUUAUGGUCGAAGCAAAAGUGCUAAGUGGACCGCCUGGGAAGUACGGUCGCAAGGCUA
RNAcentral lists this ribosomal RNA (372 nucleotides) under uncultured organism. Its description in RNAcentral is "bacterial SSU rRNA". It matches the Rfam family "Bacterial small subunit ribosomal RNA", at positions 526 to 896 of the family's 1533-position model. The record is from RNAcentral.